GAAUAUUGGACAAUGGGCGCAAGCCUGAUCCAGCCAUGCCGCGUGAGUGAUGAAGGUCUCAGGAUUGUAAAGCUCUUUCAACGGUGAAGAUAAUGACGGUAACCGUAGAAGAAGCCCCGGCUCACUUCGUGCCAGCAGCCGCGGUAAUACGAAGGGGGCUAGCGUUGUUCGGAAUUACUGGGCGUAAAGCGCGCGUAGGCGGGUAUUUAAGUCAGGGGUGAAAUCCCAGAGCUCAACUCUGGAACUGCCUUUGAUACUGGGUACCUAGAGUCCGGAAGAGGUGAGUGGAAUUGCGAGUGUAGAGGUGAAAUUCGUAGAUAUUCGCAGGAACACCAGUGGCGAAGGCGGCUCACUGGUCCGGUACUGACGCUGAGGUGCGAAAGCGUGGGGAGCAAACAG
Molecule: ribosomal RNA, 399 nt
Filed under: uncultured bacterium
Lineage: Bacteria
Description: partial 16S ribosomal RNA
Rfam family: Bacterial small subunit ribosomal RNA
Source: RNAcentral